CUGGCUCAGGAUGAACGCUAGCGACAGGCCUAACACAUGCAAGUCAGGGGCAGCACAAGGAGCAAUCUGAGGUGGCGACCGGCGCACGGGUGAGUAACACGUAUGCAACCUGCCUGUAAGCGGGGAAUAACCCGUUGAAAGACGGACUAAUACCGCAUAAUACUAAAUUACAGCAUGGUAAUUUAUUUAAACAUUUAUGGCUUACAGAUGGGCAUGCGCAUGAUUAGCUAGUUGGAGAGGUAACGGCUCCCCAAGGCAACGAUCAUUAGGGGUUCUGAGAGGAAGGUCCCCCCACACUGGUACUGAGGCACGGACCAGACUCCUACGGGAGGCAGCAGUGAGGAAUAUUGGUCAAUGGACGAGAGUCUGAACCAGCCAAGUCGCGUGCAGGAAGAAUUGUCCUAUGGAUUGUAAACUGCUUUUGCAGGGGAAUAAAGUGCAUCACGUGUGAUGUUUUGUAUGUACUCUGCGAAUAAGGAUCGGCUAACUCCGUGCCAGCCGCGGC
Molecule: ribosomal RNA, 505 nt
Filed under: uncultured bacterium
Lineage: Bacteria
Description: bacterial SSU rRNA
Rfam family: Bacterial small subunit ribosomal RNA
Source: RNAcentral